UACGUAGGGGGCAAGCGUUGUCCGGAAUCAUUGGGCUUAAAGAGCGUGUAGGCGGCCCGAUAAGUCCGCUGUGAAAGUCCAGGGCUCAACCCUGGGAUGCCGGUGGAUACUGUCGGGCUCGAGUCCGGAAGAGGAGUGUGGAAUUCCUGGUGUAGCGGUGAAAUGCGCAGAUAUCAGGAGGAACACCAAUGGCGAAGGCAGCACUCUGGGACGUGACUGACGCUGAGACGCGAAAGCGUGGGGAGCAAACAGG
This 253-nucleotide ribosomal RNA is filed under the name uncultured bacterium. RNAcentral's name for it is "partial 16S ribosomal RNA". It matches the Rfam family "Bacterial small subunit ribosomal RNA", at positions 524 to 776 of the family's 1533-position model. The record is from RNAcentral.